This 484-nucleotide ribosomal RNA is filed under the name uncultured bacterium. Its description in RNAcentral is "partial 16S ribosomal RNA". It matches the Rfam family "Bacterial small subunit ribosomal RNA", at positions 29 to 507 of the family's 1533-position model. The record is from RNAcentral.
AUUGAACGCUGGCGGCAUGCUUUACACAUGCAAGUCGAACGGCAGCGCGGGCUUCGGCCUGGCGGCGAGUGGCGAACGGGUGAGUAAUGCAUCGGAACGUGCCCAGUAGUGGGGGAUAGCCCGGCGAAAGCCGGAUUAAUACCGCAUACGACCUGAGGGUGAAAGAGGGGGACCGAAAGGCCUCGCGCUAUUGGAGCGGCCGAUGUCGGAUUAGCUAGUUGGUGGGGUAAAGGCUUACCAAGGCGACGAUCCGUAGCUGGUCUGAGAGGACGACCAGCCACACUGGAACUGAGACACGGCCCAGACUCCUACGGGAGGCAGCAGUGGGGAAUUUUGGACAAAGGGGGCAACCCUGAUCCAGCCAUGCCGCGUGCGGGAAGAAGGCCUUCGGGUUGUAAACCGCUUUUGUUCGGGAAGAAAUCCUCUGGGCUAAUACCCCGGGGGGAUGACGGUACCGGAAGAAUAAGCACCGGCUAACUACGUG